CCUACGGGGUGCAGCAGUGGGGAAUAUUGCACAAUGGGCGCAAGCCUGAUGCAGCCAUGCCGCGUGUAUGAAGAAGGCCUUCGGGUUGUAAAGUACUUUCAGCGGGGAGGAAGGUGUAGUGGUUAAUAACCACAGCAAUUGACGUUACCCGCAGAAGAAGCACCGGCUAACUCCGUGCCAGCAGCCGCGGUAAUACGGAGGGUGCAGGCGUUAAUCGGAAUUACUAGGCGUAAAGCGCACGCAGGCGGUCUGUCAAGUCGGAUGUGAAAUCCCCGGGCUCAACCUGGGAACUGCAUUCGAAACUGGCAGGCUAGAGUCUUGUAGAGGGGGGUAGAAUUCCAGGUGUAGCGGUGAAAUGCGUAGAGAUCUGGAGGAAUACCGGUGGCGAAGGCGGCCCCCUGGACAAAGACUGACGCUCAGGUGCGAAAGCGUGGGGAGCAAACAGGAUUAGAUACCCUCGUAGUC
RNAcentral lists this ribosomal RNA (465 nucleotides) under uncultured bacterium. RNAcentral describes it as "bacterial SSU rRNA". It matches the Rfam family "Bacterial small subunit ribosomal RNA", at positions 338 to 795 of the family's 1533-position model. The record is from RNAcentral.